CCAGACAGUCGCCGCUUCGUCGUCGUCCCUUUCGGGGGAGACGGGCGGAGGGGAGGAAAGUCCGGGCUCCACAGGGCAGGGUGCCAGGUAACGCCUGGGGGGGAAACCCACGACCAGUGCAACAGAGAGCAAACCGCCGAUGGCCCGCGCAAGCGGGAUCAGGUAAGGGUGAAAGGGUGCGGUAAGAGCGCACCGCGCGGCUGGUAACAGUCCGUGGCACGGUAAACUCCACCCGGAGCAAGGCCAAAUAGGGGUUCACAUGGUACGGCCCGUACUGAACCCGGGUAGGCUGCUUGAGCCAGUGAGCGAUUCAGGCCGGGUAAGCGAAGCGCCAAACGACAUUAAUUCUCAAUUUUGCGAUACUAAGCACAUUUCACUAUUUGCCUGACUGU
Molecule: RNase P RNA, 392 nt
Filed under: Enterobacter hormaechei
Lineage: Bacteria; Pseudomonadati; Pseudomonadota; Gammaproteobacteria; Enterobacterales; Enterobacteriaceae
Description: RNase P RNA component class A
Rfam family: Bacterial RNase P class A
About the family: Ribonuclease P (RNase P) is a ubiquitous endoribonuclease, found in archaea, bacteria and eukarya as well as chloroplasts and mitochondria. Its best characterised activity is the generation of mature 5'-ends of tRNAs by cleaving the 5'-leader elements of precursor-tRNAs.
Source: RNAcentral